GUACCUGCUCUGUACCACUUAGCUGGAUACCACAAUGGAGAAAUAUCUUCCCUUCGUUCAGAAGGCACCUUCAGAACAGGGGCAUGUCCAGGCGGACACACAGUCCAGCGUAGGGAGAAGUAUCUCAGAGAUCUUUCCCAAAGGAGGGCACAGAAGGUGUGAAUUGUGAAACAGUGUGAUGGUAUAGGAUGCAUUUGGAGAACUGCAAGAAGUUCUAUGAGGCCAGGAGAAAACAAGGAUGAGGCAGUGGCAAGAAAUUAGUCUGGUGAGGUGGGCAGGGGCUAACUCACAAAAGGUAUUGGGUACUAAUCUAAGGAGGUGGAACCUUACCCUGAAAGCUGUGGGUAGGAAGAGAACAAGAAAUGUUGCCAAGGACACCACAGGAUUUGGGGGCCAGUGGUCAGUGGUCAGAUGAGAACUGACAAGUGACCUUUGGACUUGUCAAUGUGGUAGUCACUGGCCAUUGACAGGAAGCAUUGGAGGCUGAGUGGAGGGGAGGCAUGAACCCAUAGUGACCCCAUGGUGUAUAUGGUUUUCUCUGGGCAGGCUC
RNAcentral lists this long non-coding RNA (550 nucleotides) under Homo sapiens (human). RNAcentral describes it as "HSALNT0333925". Lineage: Eukaryota; Metazoa; Chordata; Mammalia; Primates; Hominidae. The record is from RNAcentral.